CCUACGGGAGGCAGCAGUGGGGGAUAUUGCACAAUGGGGGAAACCCUGAUGCAGCGACGCCGCGUGGGUGAAGAAGCGCCUCGGCGCGUAAAGCCCUGUCAGCAGGGAAGAAAAGGACGGUACCUGAAGAAGAAGCCCCGGCGAACUACGUGCGAGCAGGCGCGGGAAUACGUAGGGGGCAAGCGUUAGCCGGAUUUGCUGGGGGAAGAGGGGGCGCAGAAGGCGUUGCAAGCCAGGAGUGAAAGCCGGGGGACCAACCCCGGGACUGCUCUUGGAACUGAGUGGCUAGAGUGCAGGAGGGGCAGGCGGAAUUCCUGGUGUAGCGGUGAAAUGCGUAGAUAUCAGGAGGAACACCGGUGGCGAAGGCGGCCUGCUGGACUGCAACUGACGUUGAGGCCCGAAAGCGUGGGGAGCAAACAGGAUUAGAUACCCUAGUAGUC
This 440-nucleotide ribosomal RNA is filed under the name uncultured bacterium. RNAcentral describes it as "partial 16S ribosomal RNA". It matches the Rfam family "Bacterial small subunit ribosomal RNA", at positions 338 to 795 of the family's 1533-position model. The record is from RNAcentral.